UACGGAGGGAGCUAGCGUUGUUCGGAAUUACUGGGCGUAAAGCGCGCGUAGGCGGCUUUGUAAGUUAGAGGUGAGAGCCUGGAGCUCAACUUCAGAAUUGCCUUUAAGACUGCAUCGCUUGAAUCCGGGAGAGGUGAGUGGAAUUCCGAGUGUAGAGGUGAAAUUCGUAGAUAUUCGGAAGAACACCAGUGGCGAAGGCGGCUCACUGGACCGGCAUUGACGCUGAGGUGCGAAAGCGUGGGGAGCAAACAGG
Molecule: ribosomal RNA, 253 nt
Filed under: uncultured bacterium
Lineage: Bacteria
Description: partial 16S ribosomal RNA
Rfam family: Bacterial small subunit ribosomal RNA
Source: RNAcentral